Molecule: ribosomal RNA, 696 nt
Filed under: uncultured bacterium
Lineage: Bacteria
Description: bacterial SSU rRNA
Rfam family: Bacterial small subunit ribosomal RNA
Source: RNAcentral
AACGCUAGCUACAGGCUUAACACAUGCAAGUCGAGGGGAAACGACAUCGAAAGCUUGCUUUUGAUGGGCGUCGACCGGCGCACGGGUGAGUAACGCGUAUCCAACCUGCCCACCACUUGGGGAUAACCUUGCGAAAGUAAGACUAAUACCCAAUGAUAUCUCUAGAAGACAUCUGAAAGAGAUUAAAGAUUUAUCGGUGAUGGAUGGGGAUGCGUCUGAUUAGCUUGUUGGCGGGGUAACGGCCCACCAAGGCAACGAUCAGUAGGGGUUCUGAGAGGAAGGUCCCCCACAUUGGAACUGAGACACGGUCCAAACUCCUACGGGAGGCAGCAGUGAGGAAUAUUGGUCAAUGGACGAGAGUCUGAACCAGCCAAGUAGCGUGCAGGAAGACGGCCCUAUGGGUUGUAAACUGCUUUUAUAAGGGAAUAAAGUGAGAGUCGUGACUCUUUUUGCAUGUACCUUAUGAAUAAGGACCGGCUAAUUCCGUGCCAGCAGCCGCGGUAAUACGGAAGGUCCGGGCGUUAUCCGGAUUUAUUGGGUUUAAAGGGAGCGUAGGCCGGAGAUUAAGCGUGUUGUGAAAUGUAGAUGCUCAACAUCUGAACUGCAGCGCGAACUGGUUUCCUUGAGUACGCACAAAGUGGGCGGAAUUCGUGGUGUAGCGGUGAAAUGCUUAGAUAUCACGAAGAACUCCGAUUG